Molecule: non-coding RNA, 3203 nt
Organism: Equus caballus (horse)
Lineage: Eukaryota; Metazoa; Chordata; Mammalia; Perissodactyla; Equidae
Source: RefSeq, a predicted model, not a curated record
UGUUUGCUUGAAAUCCAGGAAAUCUUCUCACCUUCCCUAACUCAGCCUGUAGGGGCCCUUUUUCCUUCCUCUUCAGAAAGUCAUGUCCCUUUUCAGCAUCCCAUUCUCAUUGCCAAAACUAUCACGAACUGUACAGGUUCUAGGAUUUUACCCUACUGACAAGCUAUCAAGUUAUCUGGCCACAGUUUCACGGAUGCUAGCAAGAGACUCCUGGGUCAGAGACACAGGACUUUAUUAUUUAUGGGAAAAGCGCCACUGAACCAAUGAUUUCCUUAAGGGGGCAGAGGGAGAGAUAAGGUUUUCCCUAAAGGGGAAUUUGCACGUAAAGCUGAGAUACUGCAGAGUCAGGCUAUCUGUGCACUUGAACACACCAUUUCUAUUUGACAAGCAAGGCUUAUUGGGCCCUUUCCACCUUGUUGGUUGCUGAGUCCAACUUGAUCCAUCCCCAAAUGGAAACUACAAGCCAAAGAGUCCGAGGCCUCUACGGUAAGGUAUUCACUUUUGACAAGAGCUCAGUAGCUCUCAGGGUAAUAACUGCUUUCCAAUAGCGAUGUGUCUGGUAGCUGUGUCAGAGGGGAAUAAGUCCAAAACCCCAAAAGAGGUCUUCAGGCAGAGACUCCAAUCAGUACAGAGAUUUGUAGCUCAAAGGAGUCAUUAGGAUUGUGGGACCCCAAAGAUACUGCAUCACAGCAUGUUAGACAGCUUCCAAGUCAGCUUGUUGGCUUGGGCCCCAGUGAAAGGAUGCUGAUCUGUAGGUUAGCAAAUAAAAAAGACCAAGUAGAAUGCCACAUGAAGCACAUACUGUCUGCAGAGUCCAACAGGUGCUGCACCUUCUUUUACGGAGUUGAUGGGAGCGGGGAGGAGCAAAGAGACACCAGUUUUUCUUUGACUGCCAGAAGGACUGAACAUUAUGAAUCUUCCCAGAUAGUCCCAAUACACUUUACAUGGACAUCAUCUAUAUAGUGAAAGCUGUGGACACCAGAAGGUAGAAGCUAAAUCCUGACCUACCCACCAGUGGCGAAAGGCAGGUUUUAAGAUUGAGACAAGCCUCAAGAAGCCUCAUCCACCUGGAUCUGAUUUAGAUGAUGAAAUUCUGCCCGUAAGCCUGAGCCUGAUGCAAUAAUAGCAUCCAAACCGGCGAACCCCAGGCCGCCGAGAAGUGGAAUGUGCGAACUUAACUGCUGCACCACUGGGCUGGCCCCCAGUGAACAACGCCUUCCAAGCUUCACGCCCUUUUUUAGUCCCCUCCAAUACCAAAUCAGUGCUGAGCCUAAGACUUGCUUUAACCAACAGAAUGCAGUGGAAGUGACCCUGUGCUGGUUUUGAAGCCUAAGUCUUAAGAGUACCUGAAGCUUCUGUUUUAUAUAUAUUCAGCUACCCUCCUAGAAAGGGCAUAGAGAGAGAACACAUGAAGAGGCCAUGAGGAGAGGGAGAGGGACAUAGGGAGGGAGGGAAGGAAAGAGAGAGAGAAACAGACACAUCACACCAGAUGUCCAUGCAUCCCAACUGAGCUAGAUUUACAGCUGUCCAUCAAGGUAUAAGACAUACAAAAGAGCCAUCUUGAGUGUUCCAGCCCAGCAGCUCCUAGAUGACUAUAGGACCAGCCAACAUCAAGUGGAGCAAAACAACUGCCCAGCUAAGCACAGUCAAACCACACAAUCUUGAGAGAGAGUAAAAUGGUUAUUUUAAGCCACUAAGUUCUGAACUGGUUUAUUGUGCUACAAUAUAUAACUCACUUAUCAAAUGAAAACUGAAUAUUUCGGAAGUCAGACUCAAUAAAGAAAUUAAAAGGCAAACUAAAAACUAUGAAAAAGUAUGUGCCAUAAAUAUACAAGUGGUUAAUAUCCUUAUAAUAUAAAAACAGCUCAUUAUAAAACAUAAACAGCAUCACCAAGUACUCAACAGAAAACAAUGGACAAAGGACAUGAUCUUUCUACUCAUAGGGAAAAUCAAAAUGGCUAAUAAGCAGGAAAAAGCUUUAAUCUUUUUGAAAUGCAAUAAAAAAAAAAAGCUUUAAUCAUUAUUUAGAAGACCAUAAAUGCUCAAUUACCACUGGUGAGAAAAAAAACCAGUACAAUCUUUCUAGAGAGCAAUUUGUCAACAUGCCAUUUCUAAGAAUAUAUGAGAUAAUCACAGCUCCAAAUAAAUAAGUAAAAGGAUAUUAAUUUCAAACUUAAUGUCCAACAAUAUAGAAACUGUUUAAAGAAUUACUGAAUAUCCAUAUUUGAGAAUAUUUUGCAACUUGCAAAUUUUUAAGAAAACUCAGGUAACAUGCUUAUAAUGUAAAGUUUAAAAAAGCAUAAUAUAAAAUUGUAUAUAUAUACAUAUAUGGUUUGAUCUAAGUUUUUGAAAACAAAAGAUAUAUGUACAUAUGCAUAACAAAGACUGAAAGGAAAUAAAAUUGUUAAACAUGGCAGUAGAAUUAUAACUACUUUUAUGCUUCUAUUUUCUAAAUUUUCUAUGACUGUAUAUUACUUUCACAUUCAGAAAAAACAAGAAUGCUAUUCUUUUUAAGUUACAUUGGUUAGGCUAUUGAUAAAGGAAACUAAGAACAAUUCCCCAACUGGAGAUAUUUAAUAAAAUUAUAUCUUUCGGAAUUUGGAAGGGAAUUGAGAAAUGACCUAGUAUGAUCUACUAUAAAUGAGGAAACACACCUAGAGAUUUAGGUGCCCAGGCCUAGUGAAGUAUUUGGAGGCAGAACCGUACUUAGAACUCAGAUUGCUUCCCCACUGCCCAGUGUGCAUUCUCAUACUGCUUUAUGAUUUUCCCAUAACAGUGACUCAAACAAGACAGAAAGGUCGAAGUAGAAUAACUGUCAUUUGGAGAAAGGCUUUACCUGGUGUACCGUUAAAUUUACAUUCAGAUAGGUCUCAUUUUAAACUAUAAAAUUACUUCUAACAGGAAGAACAUAAGCUAUUUCCUGUAAUGUAACAGUUUUAUUAAAAAUUUCCACUGAAAUAACUCCCCAGGCUUUUCUUCCCUUUGGAUUUACAUCUUGUUAUUGUUGCUAUACUUUCAGCUGAAUUUUACACCACCCCAUGAGACUUUUCCUUCAAGGGUUCUUUCCUCCUUACUUGAUGAAUAUAAGCAGGGUAGGAAUGUUGAACAUACUUAGGUACACUUUCACUUGGAGACAUUUGAAUGCAUUUUCAAUUUAUUUGUAUUUAAUUUGUUUUUUAAACAAAUUAUUUUGUUUUUCCUAA